AGUCAUAUGCUUGUCUCAAAGAUUAAGCCAUGCAUGUCUAAGUAUAAGCACUUAUACCGUGAAACUGCGAAUGGCUCAUUAAAUCAGUUAUCGUUUAUUUGAUGGUGCCUUACUACUUGGAUAACCGUGGUAAUUCUAGAGCUAAUACAUGCCAAAAACCCCGACUCACGAAGGGGUGUAUUUAUUAGAUAGCAAGCCAACGUCUCUUCGGGGACUCACUGGUGAUUCAUGGUAACUAAACGUAGCGCAUGGCCUUGCGCCGGCGCAGGAUCAUUCAAAUACCUGCCCUAUCAAGUUUCGAUGCGAGGGUAGUGUCCUCGCAUGCUUUUGACGGGUAACGGGGAAUUAGGGUUCGACUCCGGAGAGGGAGCCUGAGAAACGGCUACCACAUCCAAGGAAGGCAGCAGGCGCGCAAAUUACCCAAUCCCGACACGGGGAGGUAGUGACAAGAAAUACCGAUGCAGGAUUCUUAUGGAUCUUGUAAUUGGAAUGAGUACAAUUUAAACCCAUUAACGAGGAACAACUGGAGGGCAAGUCUGGUGCCAGCAGCCGCGGUAAUUCCAGCUCCAGUGGCGUAUAUUAAAGUUGUUGCAGUUAAAACGCUCGUAGUUGAACCUUGGGCCUGGCUGGCUGGUCCGCCUCACCGCGUGCACUGGUCCGGCCGGGCCUUUCCUCUUGGGGAGCCGCAUGCCCUUCGCUGGGCGUGUCGGGGAACCAGGACCUUUACUUUGAAAAAAUUAGAGUGUUCAAAGCAGGCCUUUGCUCGGAUACAUUAGCAUGGAAUAAUGGAAUAGGACGUGCGGUCUUAUUUUGUUGGUUUCUAGGACCGCCGUAAUGAUUAAUAGGGAUAGUUGGGGGCAUCAGUAUUCAAUUGUCAGAGGUGAAAUUCUUAGAUUCAUUGAAGACUAACUACUGCGAAAGCAUUUGCCAAAGGAUGUUUUCAUUAAUACAGCGAAGCGAAACGUUAGGGGAUCGAAGACCAUCAGAUACCGUCGUAAUCUUAACCGUAAACCAUGCCGACUAGGGAUCGGGCGGUGUUUACAUCAUGACUCGCCCGGCGCCUUGCGAGAAAUCAAAGUGUUUGGGUUCU
Molecule: ribosomal RNA, 1090 nt
Filed under: Chitonomyces affinis
Lineage: Eukaryota; Fungi; Ascomycota; Laboulbeniomycetes; Laboulbeniales; Laboulbeniaceae
Description: SSU rRNA
Rfam family: Eukaryotic small subunit ribosomal RNA
Source: RNAcentral